RNAcentral lists this ribosomal RNA (118 nucleotides) under Anneissia japonica. Lineage: Eukaryota; Metazoa; Echinodermata; Crinoidea; Comatulida; Comatulidae. The record is from RNAcentral.
UCUACGGUCAUACUACGUUGAAAACACCGGUUCUCGUCCGAUCACCGAAUUUAAGCAACGUCGGGCCCGGUUAGUACUUGGAUGGGUGACCGCCUGGGAAUACUGGGUGCUGUAGACU